CACAAUGGCUGCACUCGGGUGAGCCAGAGAAUACGGUACUGCUCUGUCCAGGGAGCUAGAAGCCUCAGAAGGAGACCAACGAUGCAGCCCCUGUCUGGAGGCCUGGGAGCUCCCAGGAGAGUCACUGCUGAGUCCACAGACAGCCUGAUGUCCACAGGCAAUGGCAGCACAACAUUCACCAUCACACUCUUUUAGAACUCAAUACCUCUAAAGGAGAAUUGCAGACUUUAGCCCUGAUCUCCCCUUUGCCUGGACAGGAUGACUCAUCAGGGCCACACUGCUGAAGUCAGUGCACAGGCUCUUCACCUGAACGGAUGUUUCCAGCCAGAGUUAUGAUGUGUCCCGGGCUAAUGAGAUUUUGCCGGGAAUCCAUUUGGAAGGCAGGCAGAGGUUGGCCUGUGCGAAGCAAGGAGGUGGCUCGGGAUCCUUUCCAGCGUCUCCUGUGAAUCCUGCAGAUGGUCACACAGGGUUUCGGGCCCGGCUGGUGUUGAGCCAGGUAUUUUGCUUGACAGUUCCUAUCAGAUAAAGGAUUAAUUGGUUGUCAAGAUUUGGAGCUUAGAAGUGAUUUCCCCUGACUGAGAAACUGGGAGACAGAAGCUGUCCUUCUGUGAGCUGCUGGCCGAGGCUGAGUCUUGAGUGGUCUGUGUACUGGGUCAGGUUUAUGCUCAAGGUGAAGCCCACAGGCUGGGUCAGUAAUUCUCACUCAGCCUAGGCUUAUGAAAUCCAAGCACUGCCUUUUGUCUUGCACUUAGAAAACACCAUGUGAGAGUAUCUGGCCUGUGGGGGGCGGAUCUUUCCAGCUACUUCUUGCAGCUGAACUCAGACAGGUGUGCUUCCGACCUUAGCGUCACUCUGACUGUGAGUUUAGUUUCUGUAAG
Chinchilla lanigera (long-tailed chinchilla) is the source of this 878-nucleotide long non-coding RNA. RefSeq lists it as uncharacterized. The record is from RefSeq and is a predicted model, not a curated record. The transcript has 4 exons. Lineage: Eukaryota; Metazoa; Chordata; Mammalia; Rodentia; Chinchillidae.